AAGUAAAAGUCGUAACAAGGUUUCCGUAGGUGAACCUGCGGAAGGAUCAUUAUUGAAAUAAACCUGAUGGGUUGCUGCUGGUUCUCUAGGGAGCAUGUGCACGCUUGUCAUCUUUAUAUCUCCACCUGUGCACCUUUUGUAGACCUGGAUCUUUUUCUGAAUGCCUAGCAUUUAGGUUUGGGGAUUGACUUUUGUCUUUCCUUGCAUUUUCAGGCCUAUGUUUCUUCAUAUACCCAUGUAUGUUAUAGAAUGUAGUAAAUGGGCCUUUGUGCCUAUAAACCUAUACAACUUUCAGCAACGGAUCUCUUGGCUCUCGCAUCGAUGAAGAACGCAGCGAAAUGCGAUAAGUAAUGUGAAUUGCAGAAUUCAGUGAAUCAUCGAAUCUUUGAACGCACCUUGCGCUCCUUGGUAUUCCGAGGAGCAUGCCUGUUUGAGUGUCAUUAAUAUAUCAGCCUCUUCMGCUUUUGCUUGUUGAGCGUUGGAUGUGGGGGUUUCUUUUGCUGGCCUCUUCUGAGGUCGGCUCCCCUGAAAUGCAUUAGCGAAACAUUCUGUUGACCGUUCAUUGGUGUGAUAACUAUCUACGCUAUUGACGUGAAGCAGGUUUGGCUUCUAACAGUCCAUUGACUUGGACAAUUUUUCAUUAAUGUGACCUCAAAUCAGGUAGGACU
This is a ribosomal RNA of 668 nucleotides. The stretch from base 287 to 440 matches the Rfam family "5.8S ribosomal RNA".